AGAGUUGAUAUGGCUCAGGAUGAACGCUAGCGGCAGGCUUAACACAUGCAAGUCGAGGGGCAGCGGGAUGUAGCAAUACAUUGCCGGCGACCGGCGGAUGGGUGCGUAACGCGUAUGCAACCUACCUUAUACAGGGGAAUAACCUUUCGAAAGGGAGACUAACACCCCAUAGUAUUGAUUUAAGGCAUCUUAGAUUAAUUAAAUAUUUAUAGGUAUAAGAUGGGCAUGCGUAUGAUUAGCUAGUUGGUAAGGUAACGGCUUACCAAGGCGACGAUCAUUAGGGGUUCUGAGAGGAAGGUCCCCCACACUGGUACUGAGACACGGACCAGACUCCUACGGGAGGCAGCAGUGAGGAAUAUUGGUCAAUGGGCGCAAGCCUGAACCAGCCAUGCCGCGUGCAAGGAAGACGGCCUUAUGGGUUGUAAACUGCUUUUACAUAAGACUAACCGUAUAUUUGCGAAUAUACCUGAAUGUAUUAUGAGAAUAAGGAUCGGCUAACUCCGUGCCAGCAGCAGC
Molecule: ribosomal RNA, 516 nt
Filed under: uncultured bacterium
Lineage: Bacteria
Description: bacterial SSU rRNA
Rfam family: Bacterial small subunit ribosomal RNA
Source: RNAcentral